GACGAACGCUGGCGGCGUGCUUAACACAUGCAAGUCGAACGGUGAACCUCUUCGGAGGGGAUCAGUGGCGAACGGGUGAGUAACACGUGGGCAACCUGCCCCCGUCUCUGGGAUAACUCCAAGAAAUUGGGGCUAAUACCGGAUGUUCACCGCUUCCCGCAUCGGUGGUGGUGGAAAGGGUUUCCGGCUGGGGAUGGGCCCGCGGCCUGUCAGCUUGUUGGUGGGGUAGUGGCCUACCAAGGCGACGACGGGUAGCCGGCCUGAGAGGGUGGCCGGCCACACUGGGACUGAGACACGGCCCAGACUCCUACGGGAGGCAGCAGUGGGGAAUAUUGCGCAAUGGGCGGAAGCCUGACGCAGCGACGCCGCGUGGGGGAUGACGGCCUGCGGGUUGUAAACCUCUUUCAGCAGGGACGAGGCGCAAGUGACGGUACCUGCAGAAGAAGCACCGGCCAACUACGUG
Molecule: ribosomal RNA, 463 nt
Filed under: uncultured bacterium
Lineage: Bacteria
Description: partial 16S ribosomal RNA
Rfam family: Bacterial small subunit ribosomal RNA
Source: RNAcentral